AUUGUAGUCUAAGAUUCCAAUUAAGAUAGAUCAAUCGAAUUGAAAGAGAAAUAAUGGGUUCAGAAACAUUCGUUGAAAUCUUACUCGCAAUUCUCCUUCCUCCAGUUGGUGUCUUCCUUCGCUAUGGCUGUGGAGUGGAGUUCUGGAUUGCUUUGCUGCUAACCAUUCUGGGAUACAUACCCGGCAUUAUAUACGCUAUUUAUGUCUUGGUUGUCUAGCUUAAUUAGCUACUUACACUUUGAUGAUGAAUGAAUUCUUGUAAUUAAUCAUCAUAUGGAUUCUUGUUCUCAUUAAUCUUAAUAAUAAUGAUCGAAAUUAGAU
Long non-coding RNA from Ipomoea nil (Japanese morning glory), 321 nucleotides. RefSeq lists it as uncharacterized. NCBI's taxonomy places the organism in Eukaryota, Viridiplantae, Streptophyta, Magnoliopsida, Solanales, Convolvulaceae. The record is from RefSeq and is a predicted model, not a curated record. The transcript is spliced from 2 exons.